CUAGCUCGGCCUAACAACUUUCACAAAGUUUGACCUCAAAUCAGGUAGGACUACCCGCUGAACUUAAGCAUAUCAAUAAGCGGAGGAAAAGAAACCAACAGGGAUUGCCUCAGUAACGGCGAGUGAAGCGGCAAAAGCUCAAAUUUGAAAUCUAGUACCUUCGGUGCUCGAGUUGUAAUUUGAAGAUGGUAAUCCUGGCGCUGGCCCUUGUCUAUGUUCCUUGGAACAGGACGUCAUAGAGGGUGAGAAUCCCGUCUGAUGGGGUGUCCAGUGCUAUGUAGGAUGCUAUCGAAGAGUCGAGUUGUUUGGGAAUGCAGCUCUAAGUGGGUGGUAAAUUCCAUCUAAAGCUAAAUAUUGGCGAGAGACCGAUAGCGAACAAGUACAGUGAUGGAAAGAUGAAAAGAACUUUGAAAAGAGAGUGAAAAAGUACGUGAAAUUGUUGAAAGGGAAGGGUAUUAGAUCAGACUUGGUGUUUUAUGAUUAUCUUCUCUUCUUGAGUUGUGCACUCGUAUUUCACUGGGCCAGCAUCGAUUCGGAUGGUAAGAUAAUGACAUUGGAACGUGGCAUCAUUCGUGAUGUGUUAUAGCCUUUGUUGAUAUUGCCUAUCUGGAUCGAGGACUGCGGCUUCUGCCUAGGAUGCUGGCGUAAUGAU
This 652-nucleotide ribosomal RNA is filed under the name Xingzhongia hampshirensis. RNAcentral's name for it is "LSU rRNA". It matches the Rfam family "Eukaryotic large subunit ribosomal RNA", at positions 1 to 638 of the family's 3401-position model. Lineage: Eukaryota; Fungi; Ascomycota; Saccharomycetes; Phaffomycetales; Wickerhamomycetaceae. The record is from RNAcentral.